UACGGAGGGAGCUAGCGUUGUUCGGAAUUACUGGGCGUAAAGCGCACGUAGGCGGCUUUUUAAGUCAGGGGUGAAAGCCCGGAGCUCAACUUCGGAAUUGCCUUUAAGACUGCAUCGCUUGAAUCAUGGAGAGGUCAGUGGAAUUCCGAGUGUAGAGGUGAAAUUCGUAGAUAUUCGGAAGAACACCAGUGGCGAAGGCGACUCGCUGGACAAGUAUUGACGCUGAGGUGCGAAAGCGUGGGGAGCAAACAGG
RNAcentral lists this ribosomal RNA (253 nucleotides) under uncultured bacterium. RNAcentral describes it as "partial 16S ribosomal RNA". It matches the Rfam family "Bacterial small subunit ribosomal RNA", at positions 524 to 776 of the family's 1533-position model. The record is from RNAcentral.